RNAcentral lists this ribosomal RNA (448 nucleotides) under uncultured bacterium. RNAcentral describes it as "SSU rRNA". It matches the Rfam family "Bacterial small subunit ribosomal RNA", at positions 26 to 518 of the family's 1533-position model. The record is from RNAcentral.
AGGAUGAAUGCUGGCGGCGUGGAUAAGGCAUGCAAGUCGAACGGUCCGCAAGGACAGUGGCAGACGAGGUAGUAACACGUACGGACGCACCCCAGAGUCUGGCAUAGCUCGUCGAAAAGACGGGGUAAUUCCGGAUGGUCCCGAAAGGGUAAAGUUUUUUCGCUCUGGGAGCGGCGUGCGUAAUAUCAGCUUGUUGGUGAGGUAAUGGCUCACCAAGGCUACGACGUUUAGGGGAGCUGAGAGGCUGACCCCCACCGAUGGGACUGAGACACGGCCCAUACUCCUACGGGAGGCCGCAGUCGAGAAUCUUCCGCAAUGGACGAAAGUCUGACGGAGCGACGCCGCGUGCUGGACGAAGUGCUUCGGUACGUAAACAGCUUUUAUGUGGGACGAAAUUAUUGACGGUACCACAUGAAUAAGGGGCUCCUAACUCUGCGCCAGCAGCCGC